Molecule: ribosomal RNA, 122 nt
Filed under: Burkholderia vietnamiensis
Lineage: Bacteria; Pseudomonadati; Pseudomonadota; Betaproteobacteria; Burkholderiales; Burkholderiaceae
Also listed under: 1 other name
Description: partial 16S ribosomal RNA
Rfam family: Bacterial small subunit ribosomal RNA
Source: RNAcentral
UUUACCAGAAGUGGCUAGUCUAACCGCAAGGAGGACGGUCACCACGGUAGGAUUCAUGACUGGGGUGAAGUCGUAACAAGGUAGCCGUAUCGGAAGGUGCGGCUGGAUCACCUCCUUUCCAG